This 468-nucleotide ribosomal RNA is filed under the name uncultured bacterium. RNAcentral describes it as "partial 16S ribosomal RNA". It matches the Rfam family "Bacterial small subunit ribosomal RNA", at positions 28 to 507 of the family's 1533-position model. The record is from RNAcentral.
GACGAACGCUGGCGGCGUGCUUAACACAUGCAAGUCGAACGGAAAGGCCCUGCUUUUGUGGGGUGCUAGAGUGGCGAACGGGUGAGUAACACGUGAGUAACCUGCCCUUGACUUUGGGAUAACUUCAGGAAACUGGGGCUAAUACCGGAUAGGAGCUCCUGCCGCAUGGGGGGGGUUGGAAAGUUUCGGCGGUUGGGGAUGGACUCGAGGCUUAUGAGCUUGUUGGUGGGGUUGUGGCUUACCAAGGCAUUGACGGGUAGCCGGCCUGAGAGGGUGACCGGCCACAUUGGGGCUGAGAUACGGCACAGACUCCAACGGGACGCAGCAGUGGGGUAUAUUACACUGUAGGCGGAGGCCUGGUGCAACAACGCCGCGUGCGGGAUGACGGCCUUCGGGUUGUAAACCGCUUUCGCCUGUGACGAAGCGUGAGUGACGGUACUGGGUAAAGAAGCACCGGCUAACUACGUG